GCCAUCCAAAUUUUGUCCCAAAGUGGAUUUUGCCAGGGAAGUACGAAGGAUAUGAUGCAAGGCAGCAGGAAGACGGUCUUCCUCAGGAAGUGAUGAGCCCUGUAAGAUAAACCUCUUCUGCGANNNNNNNNNNNUUGUACUCUGCAUAUUUUUGAUGAAUCAGUUCUUUCUCAAGAAUUCUCUGCAAGGAUUCACAUUUGCACACUUUGCAGAUUCUUACAAGAUCUUCCAUGUC
This 235-nucleotide unclassified non-coding RNA is filed under the name Hevea brasiliensis (rubber tree). Lineage: Eukaryota; Viridiplantae; Streptophyta; Magnoliopsida; Malpighiales; Euphorbiaceae. The record is from RNAcentral.